This 473-nucleotide long non-coding RNA is filed under the name Prunus persica (peach). Its description in RNAcentral is "long non-coding RNA (PPER_LNC007779)". The record is from RNAcentral. Lineage: Eukaryota; Viridiplantae; Streptophyta; Magnoliopsida; Rosales; Rosaceae.
UUGGGUAGAGGCGGCAGCGGCUCUCCUCCUCUCUCUGCUGGAAGUGGUCUGAACAGAAGGACAAAAUAUUGGUCAUCCAAAGGCACCAGUGUGGUACCAGUCAAGCCCUCUCUAAUGUCAAAGUUAAGGCAAAGUUGGGAAAGUUAGGAUAGUGUUUAAGCAGGGUGUCUGGAUAGGAGCAGUUAGUACCUUUGUCCUAAUUUUGGUAUUCUACGUACAGUCCUUUGGUGACCAUUGGAUUGAGAAAAAAAAAAAAAAAAAAGCUAAUCUACACCAUUCAAUUUGGGGUAACAUGAAAACCUCUUCUCUAUUAGAACUCGUUUUGUUGGCGUUGUCAUUGCACUAGCGCUAUUGAGAGGGCAAGUACAUAGUUCACGUGGUGGUGGCUCUUAUUCAUGAUCUAGGGCUUCGUCAAAACUUCUUUCGUAUUCGUGGCUGGGCUGGUGGAAUUGAGGUGAUCACUGAACUUGUCG